Molecule: ribosomal RNA, 492 nt
Filed under: uncultured bacterium
Lineage: Bacteria
Description: partial 16S ribosomal RNA
Rfam family: Bacterial small subunit ribosomal RNA
Source: RNAcentral
AGUGAACGCUGGCGGUAGGCCUAACACAUGCAAGUCGAACGGCAGCACAGUAAGAGCUUGCUCUUACGGGUGGCGAGUGGCGGACGGGUGAGGAAUACAUCGGAAUCUACUUUUUCGUGGGGGAUAACGUAGGGAAACUUACGCUAAUACCGCAUACGACCUACGGGUGAAAGCAGGGGAUCUUCGGACCUUGCGCGAUUGAAUGAGCCGAUGUCGGAUUAGCUAGUUGGCGGGGUAAAGGCCCACCAAGGCGACGAUCCGUAGCUGGUCUGAGAGGAUGAUCAGCCACACUGGAACUGAGACACGGUCCAGACUCCUACGGGAGGCAGCAGUGGGGAAUAUUGGACAAUGGGCGCAAGCCUGAUCCAGCCAUACCGCGUGGGUGAAGAAGGCCUUCGGGCUGUAAAGCCCUUUUGUUGGGAAAGAAAAGCAGCAGGUUAAUACCCCGCUGUUCUGACGGUACCCAAAGAAAAAGCACCGGCUAACUUCGUG